AGACAUUUCGCUGCUGCACGAGAGGGAGAGAAAGCAUAGCAUCGCCCCGAGAUAACCAGAAAUACAAUCAACUUACAACGUCUCUCCAAACUGGAAAAGGCGACUGUGCAACCACCACCACAUGUUCAGGUCUCGAUCCCUCGGGCUGUCUCUCUUUUUUUUUAACUCUCACGCCAGGCAGAGGGGUGUGUGUUUCCCUUGGCACAGCAGCACAAAUCAAUAAACACUGCAGCUGCGGUGCAAGUAGCAGCCCCGCGCGUCCGUCGGUCCGUCCGCCCCCUCCCCCACCCUCCUUCCACCCGAGACCCAGAGCGCCAUCCAAGCCCCAUUAUCCGGCUUCAGCGCUCCGUGCGUCCGGCCCAGGUAACAACUUCCCCAAAAACCGAAAGAGAAAAGCGCGAGGCGCACGCACACCGGCCCAUCCCGGCGCAGAGACCUCGUCUGCCCCGGGAGGGGGAUCUGUCUGUGGUGCUUCCCGGUCUCUAAGCCCAGGUAACAACUCCGCAAACACACCCGCCGCCCAGCUCGCCCCCAUCCGCGCGGCUCCCGGCGGCGUUAAGUGGGUACCUUUCCUGCCUUGUUCCCCGCGCCGCCCCGCCGCGCCCCGCCAAACGUGGACCCCACUCGCGGGGCUCGCCGCGGAGUCCCCAGGCCGGGGCUCUGGGCCGGGCAGCGGGAGGCGCCAGGGAGGAGGGGCGCUUAGGGACCCGCGCCCCCGCGCCUCUAAUCCCCGUUACGCGAGCGCGCCCGGCCCGCGGGUCCCAACUUUACCGCCGCCGGCCGAACCCUGUCCGCCCGCGGCGCGCACAGCCGGCGCCCGCGCACACGCGCGCACAAACCCCACGCAACCCGCGGCCGCCCCGUCCCGCCGCCGCCGCAGCCCGCCUGCCGCGCGCCCACAGCCCGGCCCGAGUCGCGGGGCCCGAGCGACAGCGACGGCGCCGGCCGGGGCCGCGGCGCGCGGAAGCCACUUUGCACGGUCAGCGCCGGGCACAAGUUUGUUCCGCGGCUCCCGGGGGCCUGGGCGCUGAGGGAGAAUCGCGCUGAGGGGGCCAGGAGGAGGGGGAGAGGGAGGCGCCGAAGGGCACAAGAGUGGGGAAAAGUGCGGAAAGAAGCAACAGCCGCUCCACCCGGGACCAGAAAAGUGGCCAGUGCGUCCCGGCCGCCCGCCCUGCGCCGGGGAUGCGGCGGCGUCGGCGCCGGCUAACGGUCCAGGGAGGCGGCAGGGGCGGCGGGAGCCGCUAGGCGGAGAGAGACCAGGGACGCCUGGUUUCCCCCCAAGCGAACCGGGAUGGGAAGUGACUUCAAUGAGAUUGAACUUCAGCUGGAUUGAAAGAGAGGCUAGAAGUUCCGCUUGCCAGCAGCCUCCUUAGUAGAGCGGAAUGAGUAAUACCCACACGGUGCUUGUCUCACUUCCCCAUCCGCACCCGGCCCUCACCUGCUGUCACCUCGGCCUCCCACACCCGGUCCGCGCUCCCCGCCCUCUUCCUCGCGUAGAACCGUGGGAUCCUAGGUGGCAGGACUCAGAGCUAAGGUAUCCACAGGCCAUGAAUUCCUUCCUAAAUGAGCGGUCAUCGCCGUGCAGGACCUUAAGGCAAGAAGCAUCGGCUGACAGAUGUGAUCUCUGAACCUGAUAGAUUGCUGAUUUUAUCUUAUUUUAUCCUUGACUUGGUACAAGUUUUGGGAUUUCUGAAAAGACCAUACAGAUAACCACAAAUAUCAAGAAAGUCGUCUUCAGUAUUAAGUAGAAUUUAGAUUUAGGUUUCCUUCCUGCUUCCCACCUCCUUCGAAUAAGGAAACGUCUUUGGGACCAACUUUAUGGAAUAAAUAAGCUGAGCUGUAUUUCAAGUAAUAUAGUUAUAAAUUAACAAUGUAGCAGUUAUUGAUAGAGAAAUUGAGAAAACUGAAACGUGACCGGAGUAUUGGAAAUAACGUAGUACAUCACCUAGCACAAUGACACAUAGUAGGUGCUCAAUAAAUUUAUGCUUAUAAUUUUUGUCACUUCUAUGGCAGGAUUUUUUUAUUAGGUUAAAAUUAUCUUUUAAACACCUUCCGGAAUUUUAGAAUAUUCAUUAAUAAUGUCUUCAAACCUUUCAACUGAAAUAAAUUUACAGCUGAAGUCUGAUGAUUUAAAGUUAGAAAGUUUAAUCUUGAAUAUAAAUGAACAUUUUCUCUCCCACAUUUUCUUGGGCAUUUUGAGAAGUAAAUGCGUUAUUUAUUGGUCCAUGAAAUGUGACUGUAAAUAUUCUUUGCUAUACAUUAUGUCUAUAUAUCUGCAUUCAUCCUCAAUGCCAAAACUAGAAUCAUUAGUCUUAAUGAUCAUUUUAAGUACAGGCAGUCCUCGCUUUCCUUGAUACCAUGUUAACCGAAACUUGUGUAUGUCAACACGGUGUCCUUGCUUUGCUUGGUUAAGUGUGAGUUCUUCCUCCCUUUUUUUAAGAGUUGUACAAUGUUUUUCAGUCGCCUACCGAAUCAGGUCAUAGACUAUGGAAUUGACCCCACCCCACCAACAUUUUUACAGCUACCCUGAUUUCUGACCAGAAAGGAAAAAAAAACUUUCCAGCUCUAUCACACAUUUUACCUACUCUUAAACUUAGGAGGUAUUACAAAUAGCAUUUUCUCAUGUUCUCUUUCUGGCCUGUACCUCCCUGCUAAGCUUCCUUCAGUGUUCAUCCUCACCUCAUAGAGAGAUGAAGUGAAGAGACAAACAGAAGUCAUUUUCUUCCUUACUUUAGUGGUUUCUGGUUUAGUUAGUUUGGGCCAAACUGUGGACAAGUACCUUUUCAGGUAACUUUUUUUUCUUAUUUCUAUGUCCUCAACACCUAGUGGAGUACGUAGCCAAUAGUAGAUGCUUAAUAAACAUUUCUUAAAUUAAUAUUGUUGACCUUUUCUGACCCUGUUCUUGACAGUAAGGUACAUAAUCUGCCUUCAUCCCUUUAGUCCUUAGGAACAGAUAAAGUCAUGGAUAUGAAAGUGAUCACUGUCAUUAAUAUCCACAUUAAAAUUGCUCUUGAUUUUAGUUUCUCCAUAAUCAUUUUCCCUAAACAAUGAACUCUGUUCACCUUUUUUUUUAAAAUAUGCACAGUGAAUAUUACUGGUAGCCCAAAUCUUCUAACAUAAAAUUUCCAUUUUGUAAAAGCUUCUGAUAAGCAUAUAUGUUAUGAAUUGAAUGUUUGAUUAUUAUACUUUAAUAUUCUUGAAAAUAUUGAUACCUGGACUGGAAAGAAAACAGACAAAAGUAAAUCUCAGAAUAAAUUACUGCUUUAAACAUGAUGCAUGUGUGACGGUUGCUUCUUAUCUCUUAAAUACAGCUAAAGAAUAGGGGAAAAAUCUUUAGAAUCAAUUUAUAAAAGAAGAUUAUUAAAAUUUAGGUUUAUUCAAAUCAAACGGUAGGGGAUACUAAUAUAUGACUUUAACAUGUAUCCUGCAUUCUUGGUUUUAGUAAUUGUAGUGCUGUCAUACAGCAUACAUUCAAUAUAUAUGCUUAUUUUUAAUAUGUCAAUGAAAUGUUAACACACUGCUUCUACUGAGCACUGGGAUUAUAUAUGCUGAAGGGAAGAUAUUCUAAAAAUGAAUUUCUAUACUAUUCCAAAUUUACAGGGAAAAAUGUAAAUGGAUAGAAUAGUUCCAAUACUGAGUUUUUUCUAUAAAUUUUUCAUAAACCCUUUGCACCUAUUUGCUUUUCAUAUAUGAUUCCUGUAUAAAUUAGGAUAAAAUUUGACAUAAAAUUAUCUUAAGUUUAAAAUGUAGAGAUUUCACGGUGUUCCACAUGAAGCAUAUCAUUCCCACAUACCUCUUCCAAAACACAUUGAGAAGUGCAAUGUAUAAUUCUCUAGUCUUCAUCAAAAUUUAAAGUUCGUUAAUUUCAUGGAAGGAUAGCAUGUAAAUGCAACUCUUGAAUUCAAUACCUAAUUUUAAUCUUAGAGUUUUUGAAGGAAAAAGAAUGUGAUACAUGUUAUCCCUCAAAGUACAGAAUGUAGAGGUCCCAUAAAGCCGCUACUCAAUUCUUGUCUCUGACCAUGGCUCCUGACCUACAGUAAUUCUGGAUUUGCAGUUCACCGUGGAACAAAGGAGGGCAAUGGUCAUUUCACUGUUGCAGUCUCACCAAAUUCUGCAGUCAUUGAGUCAGGAAGGAAACAUGACUACAGGGUGAUGCAGAACCCACAGUUGGCCACAGGACCCAUGCCAGCCCUUCGAAUACAGCCUCCCAGGAGAUAUCACAGGGACAAAUGUUUUCUCCAUACUUCCAUGUGAUUUUUGUUACAUAGUUUACCACAGAAUGGUUCUUACCCCUCUGGGGAAUGAGGCUCCUAUUUUUAAUGUAAGUCAAUGAAAUGUUAACACGUGUAGUUUCUUAUUUACGAGGUGAUUUUUCAGGAACGUGUGUAAUACAGAGAUAGAUAUAAAUAUAUGGAGAAAGAUGUUUGCAGGAUGUCGGUGAAUAUCCAAAAAGUAAAACUAGUGUUUUCCAUGAAGUCACAGUAAUUAAAAAGGAUUUCUUUCAAAGGCUGCCUCCAUAGAAGUUAGAUUGUAGUUUCUAUUACUAAUAUUACUUAUGAAUAUGAAUAACAUUUAAUUUUUUCUACACUUAAUUAUAUGUAGGUAACUUGAGAGGAAGCAACACACAUAUUUUUGAUUUAAGUGAAUUUUAAUUAUUUACCAUGAUAUCAGUGGUCUGAUAGCUGGUUUCUACUGCUGUUUUUUCUCUUUUGUAUCCACGUAUUUCUUUUUUCUGUCAUCUUGACUUCUUUUAGCAGCUGAUUGAUUCUGUUACAGAGUAUGGCUGUUUCUUUGACCUACAGUGCUGGUGUUCUGUAAACCACAGAUCCUCAGUUACAGUCGUUGCCUCUGAACAGAGGCAAGGAUUGAACAUCCUUGGUGUACAUGCAUUUAAAAUGUUUGCAAUCAGUAACAGGUUUUAGAUGUUCUACCAUUGUAUUAAACUUACAUGAGAAAGAUGGUGAUAAAUACCCUGUGUCCAAUUAUAUCCACAACUUUAAGAUCCCUGGUCACACCCUUCUCAUUCUCUUCAGACCUCAGGCCUCUAUUUCUUUUCUCUCUCUCUUUAUCCUACUUACAUAAAUAGAUCAGACAUUGUGCCCCUCCCCCACUGUUUUACUUUGUAAUCAUUCCCUUCCUCUGUCUUUCUUUGUGCCCGCUCUGUUUGGAUCAUUUCCCUUUCUCUUUUUGUUUAAAAUUUUUUGAAUCGUUCCAACUCUGUGAAAUGCUUUGCUUUUUCAUAUUAUCCUUGUUAUGCUCUGUCCUUCAAAGUCCAUUCUCUGCCUUUCCAUGCUCUGCGAGGCUGACUUCUGUGGAAGUCACGUCACCCAGGCUUCUUUGCCCUCUGGUUCCUAUUUGGUUUCAGCCAAUUUGGAGGCUUUGGCAAAUGAUCAGAGAAAGGAAAAAGAGAGAGGUCAGGAUAUUUAUUCUAUUCCCUGCUGCCUGGCUGUGGCUCUAGCUUCGUUCCUCUACCUGAGGUCCCUGGCUCCUGUCCGACACCCUCAUCCCAUGGCCACAGGUCUUGCCAAGUUCCAGAAACUGCUUCUUCUCUUUGUGUCUUCAGGCCCAGGGUGGUAAUGAUUGAUUGCUUCAUCACUCCUUCCUUUAAAACCUGUCCACACCUCUGUAAAUAGUCUCUUCAUUAAACUCUCUUCAGAGUAUCCUUUGAAUGUGCUAUAUGCUUCCGGCCAGGACCCUGAGUAAUAUGCGUAUAGAAAUAAAGCAUUUUAACCUUAUUUCUUACCAACCAAUAAUUCUGCUAUUUCCAUUAAUUACAAUACUAAUGUUAAAUGUGAUAUAAAUGUCUUAUGUCAUUUGUUGAACAAGUAUAUACUCACGUUCCAAUGUAUGUACUUGCAAAAUCUGGCAAACACUAUCACGUAGUAAUUAUUCAAUAACCUAUUUGUGGAAUGAUGGCCUCUGCCUUAAUCUAAAAUCUAGGCGAGACAACUUUUACAUAUUUAAAACAAUGAGAGAAAAAAAUCAUACCACAAUAUUAAGAUAGAGCUAAUUGUCCCUAAUAUGUUUCUUCCUCUUUUAAAAUUAUAGAACUGUCCAUUUUUAUCACACUUGAAAUAAUUCUUAGCUGGGUGUGGUGGUUCAUGCCUAUAAUCCCAGUGCUUUGGGAAGCCAAGGCAGGAGGAUUGCUUAAGGCCGGGUGUUGGAGCCCAGCCUGGGCAACAUAGCAGGAUUACUCUCUACAAAAAAUUUUAAAAUUAGCUAAGCAUCGUAAAGCGCACCUACAGUUGCAGCUACUCAAGAAGCUGAGGCAGGAGGAUGACUUGAGCCCAGGAGUUCAAGGGUGAAGUGAGCUCUGAUCACACAACUGCACUUCAGCCAGGGCAACAGAGUGAGACCUGCCUCUAGGAAAAAAAAAAUGGUUCUGUUUCUCUUCUUGUAUGUAUCUAGGUCUCACUAUGCUACUUAGUUCUGGCCAAAGAGAUGUAAGUGGUGUGCACAACAUUGACAAAGAUCUUCAAAAACAGAUGCUUCACCAUCCUUUCCCUUCCUCCUGUGGAUUGAAAUCCUGCUAGAUUUUCUCAACUUGGGCAGAGCUGUCUAGAGCUCCUUAAGUUAUGCAGAGCAAAAAGACUGAAGGAGCCUGAGUCCUUGACACUAUGGAAUACCAUUACCAGCCCUGGACUUCCUCCUCCAGAUUUCUCUUUCUCUUAGAAAGAAACAAAUAUACCUCUUGCUUCAGCUGCCAUUCUCUUAGGUUUUCUGUCAUAUGCAGCCAAAGUUAAUCCUGUUCCAUGUGGGAAUGUGUAUUUGUUUCCUAUUGCUGCUGUUAAAAAUUACCACAAACUUAGUGGAUUAAAACAACAUAAAUCGGCCAGGCUCAGUGGCUCACACCUUUAAUCCCAGCACUUUGGGAGGCCGAGGUUGGCGGAUCGCUUGAGCUCAAUAGUUCGAGACCAGCCAGGCAACAUGGUGAAACCCUAUCUCUACAAAAGGUACAAAAAUUAGCUGAGCAUGGUGGCACAGGCCUGUAAUUCCAGCUACCUGGGAGGCUGAGGUGGGAAGAUGACUUGAGCCCAGGAGGUGGAGGCUGCAGUGAGCCAUGUUUGCACCACUGCAUUCCAGUUUGGGCAACAGAGACCUGUCUCCAAAAAAAAAUUGUUUUAAUUAAAAGAAAAGUAAAUGUAUUAUCUUACUAUUUUGGAAGUGAGAAGUCCAAAGCAGGUCUCACAAGACUCAAAUCAAGGUUUUGUCAGAAUUGAGUUCCUUCAGAAGGGCCUAGGGGAGACUCCAUUUCCUGGCCUGUUUCAGCUUCUAGAUGCUGCUCACAUUCCUUGGUUUUGAGCCUCUUCCUCCGUCCUCAAAGUCAGCAACAUCCAACAGAGUCCUUUGCAUCUUGCCAGCUCACUCGUUCCUCUAUUCUGCCUCCCUCUUCCAGUUAUAAGGGCCUUAGUGACUAAACUGGGCCCACCCAGAUAAUUCAAAAUAUCUCUUCAUUUAAAGGUCAGCUGAUUAGCAUGCUUAAUUCCAUCUACAAUGUAAAUUCCCCUUUGCCAUAUAACCAAACCUUUUCCCAGGUUUGGGGGAUUAGGACGUGGACAUCGUUGGGAGCCACUAUUCCACCACUCACAGUAUGCAAGUUUUGUAUUUCAUGAUUGAGAAAUAUGUUUUAUUUGUUCAUCUUUAAUUUGCAGAUUUAUAGCAUUAUGCUAAUUGGUCAUUACUCUGUAUAUAACAUUUACAUUGUGCCAUGUAGAAGUUUUAAUUGUUCAUUAGUUCAUUUAUUCAACUAAUAUUCUUUUUUUUUUUUUUUGAGACAGAGUCUCCCUCUGUCACCCAGGCUGGAGUGCAGUGGCAGGAUCUUGGCUCACUGCAACCUCUGCCUUCCGGGUUCAAGCGAUUCUCCUACCUCAGUCUUCUGAGUAGCUGGGAUUACAGGCAUGCAUCACCGUGCUCAGCCAAUUUUUUGUAUUUUUGGUAGAGACGGGGUUUUACCAUAUUGGCCCGGCUGGUCUCGAACUCCUGACCUCAGGUGAUCCACCCGCCUUGGCCUCUCAAAGUGCUGGAAUUACAUGUCUAACAUUCUUGAGCAUAUUAUAUGUGGCAGACACUGCAUGGAACUGUAAAUGCCUAAUAUGGUCCCUGACCUCAAGAAGCUUACAGGUUUGUGGGAGAAACAUAUAUUAAAAGGCUGACACAAAUGUCAAGGAAAUAUGGUUUACCUAAGAGAAAGAUCUAAACAAACCCAGAGUCAAGGAAAUCUUUCUUGGAGAAGUAAUAGUGUUGUCAGAAGAGUAGGAGAAGAGAGUAUUAAAGGCAGAAGUUACAGCAUAUGCAGAAAUCUCAAAAUGAAAGUAUAGUGCUUUGUGGUACAAAUCCAAUAGCAUCAAAGCAUUGAAUAAAAUGGGCUCAUAGUUCCAGAUGAGGCCUCAGAGGUCAGUAAGCAGGAGCCAAGCCGUACAAAGGUGCCAAGGACGUGGGAUGUUGCACUGAAAGCACCUGUAGGCCAUGAAGGGCCUUGAAGUUAACAGCGUCUACCGUAUAGAAGAUGUGAAUUAGUGUUCUGUGAGGGAAACGAAAAAGUGAGCAGGACAGCAUCAAGAGAACUUAACUUUUUAAAAAAUUUCAGUUGUUAUUUUAGACACAGGGGAUACAUGUGUAGGUUUGUUAUAUGGAUAUAUUGCACCCGGGUAGUCGGCAUAGUACCUGGUAGGUAGUUUUUCAACCCACACCCCUCCCUCUCUCUAGUAGUCUGCAGUACCUGUUGUUCCCAUGUUUAUGUCCACGUGUACUCCAUGCUUAGCUCCUAUUUGUCAGUGAGAACAUGUGGUAUUUGUAUUUUUCUGUCCUUGCAUUAAUUUUGAAUAAUCAUGUAAGAAGGAAUAAUUCUGCAAGGAAAAGCAACACAAAAAUAAGAUGUGACUUUGCAAAUUAAGCACACAUAAACAAUAAUAUUUGCAGAUUAUCUUUUUUUUUUUUUUUUUGAGACAGGGUCCUGCUCUGUUGCCCAGGCUGGAGUGCAGUGGUGCGAUCAUGACUCACUGAAGCCUCGACCUCCUAGGCUUAAGCGAUCUUCCCAUCUCAUCCUCCCAAGUACCUGGGACUACAGGCGUGCACCACCAUGCCUGGCUAAUUUUUUGUACUUUUUGUAGAUACGGGGUUUCGCCAUGUUGCCCAGGCUGGUCUAGAACUCCUGGGCUCAAAUGAUCCUCACACUUUAGCCUCCCAAACUGCUGAGAUUACAGGAAUGGGCCCCCCUAUGCAGCCUAGAUUAUUUUAACAAGUAGUGCUGCACUGCUGCUAAAAGUUCAGCAAUAUAAAGCAUAAUUAAUAUUUCCCAUGUUUACAAUAUUAAUAAAGUUGUUCCAGGUGAUACCUUUUUACAGUGGUCUUUCCAGGUCCUAAUACUGCCUUAGUACAAGGCAUGCCCUCAAAAUUAUAUGAUAUAUGAAUUAAUAUAAAAAAGAGUCCCCAACGUAUUUUUUAAUACUUGCUAUUUUUUCAUUAUUAUAUUUACUGCAGCCUAACAUAUACUAAUGUCCUGUCAUUCAGAUUCUGCAUCUUCUAGAUUACCUGACAUAUUUCUGAGAAGGCAAAUUAGUUUUCUUUCCCUCGAUUUCAGAUUACCUCAGCAUUUCUCCAGGUGUAUCAGAAUUCUUGGGGAUUAGACAACCACAUCCUGGUAUGGACUUAGAAUACCCAAGAAUACCCAGAAUAGCUAGUAAUUCCCUCACAUACAUCCGGGUACUUUGUACAUAUCACUACUGUGGUGUUUAUCACUUUUGUUUUUUCAUUUUAUUUUUAUUUUUGUUUGUUUUUGUUUUUAGACAGAGUUUUGCUCUUAUUGCCCAGGCUGGAGUGCAAUGGCACGAUCUCAGCUCACUGCAACGUCUGCCUCCCAGGUUCAAGCGAUUCUCCUGCCUCAGCCUCCCGAGUAGCUGGGAUUACAGGGCCUACUGCAGUGCAUGAAGGUGGUAUGGACUCAGAACUCUGAAGUCUGAGGAGACAAAUACAUGCCCACCAUAACAACAUCACACAAUACCUAGAGUCAAAACAGUUAUCCCUAUUCCUACCCCCAACUGAGUUAUUCAAUAAAGCCUGCCUUGUUGAAUCUGUUUUCCCAUGUAUAGUUUAUAUAGUUACAUAACAAUUAGUUUUUUCCAUAUACUUAGGAUAACUACAUGUAAUUUAGUAUUCUGCUGUUUUCACUUACAUAUCACAUACAUUUUCCUGAUACAGGUACAUAGUCUUUAUAUUUGUCAUUUUUCACUUGACUGCUAUGUUUCUCAAAUUGAUAUACUGUCAUUUCCUAAGCCAGUUAUAUAUUGUUGAACAUUUAAAUUACUCCCUUUUUUGGUUUGUAAAUAAACAUUGUUAUGAAAUAGUUUUUGUUUGGUUGGUUUUUGAUCAUUUCCUGGGAAAGUAUUCUCAAAACUGAAAUUACUGAAUCAGUGGGAGUGAACACAGGUGUGUCUUUUAAAAUAUUUUAUCUCAUUGUGGUUUUGAUUUGCAUUUCUCU
This 10477-nucleotide long non-coding RNA is filed under the name Homo sapiens (human). RNAcentral's name for it is "non-protein coding ZEB1-AS1:18". The record is from RNAcentral. Lineage: Eukaryota; Metazoa; Chordata; Mammalia; Primates; Hominidae.